CAGGCCUAACACAUGCAAGUCGGACGGGAUUUGGGAGCUUGCUCCUGAUGAGAGUGGCGCACGGGUGCGUAACACGUAUGUAACCUACCUUGAUCUGGGGGAUAGCCUCUCGAAAGAGAGAUUAACACCGCAUAAUAUGUUUGAAUAGCAUUGUUUAAACAUCAAAUAUUUAUAGGAUCAAGAUGGGCAUGCGGAACAUUAGCUAGUUGGUAAGGUAACGGCUUACCAAGGCUACGAUGUUUAGGGGAUCUGAGAGGAUGACCCCCCACACUGGUACUGAGACACGGACCAGACUCCUACGGGAGGCAGCAGUAAGGAAUAUUGGUCAAUGGGCGGAAGCCUGAACCAGCCAUGCCGCGUGCAGGAAGACGGCCCUACGGGUUGUAAACUGCUUUUAUACGGGAAUAAACCCUGAUAUGUAUAUCAGGCUGAAUGUACUGUAAGAAUAAGGAUCGGCUAACUCCGUGCCAGCAGCCGCGGUAAU
Molecule: ribosomal RNA, 484 nt
Filed under: uncultured bacterium
Lineage: Bacteria
Description: bacterial SSU rRNA
Rfam family: Bacterial small subunit ribosomal RNA
Source: RNAcentral